This is a long non-coding RNA of Numida meleagris (helmeted guineafowl), 9461 nucleotides long. RefSeq lists it as uncharacterized. The record is from RefSeq and is a predicted model, not a curated record. The transcript is spliced from 2 exons. Lineage: Eukaryota; Metazoa; Chordata; Aves; Galliformes; Numididae.
GAAUUCAGUUCAUUACCUAAUAAGUUGCAAAGCCACCUUGAGAGGAAAAAGUUCUACAAUGUGUAGUUAAAGGGAGAUGAUAAUUUUCAUAGCCUUAGGAUUAGAGAGCUGAUAAUCUUGGUCUGGCACAGUGUUUUUAACAAAUAAACAUUUCUAGAUUCUGGUUCUUUUGAAUGUUUUGGAUAGGAUACUGCACAUUGAAUUAAGUUCAACAGGCAAACUAGUUAGCAGUCUUUCCACCAGAUUGCACAUACGAAACAAAGAUGGUAAUGAGAAUUCUCAGUUCCACAGUUUUCAAAGUAUUUGAAGGCCCCAAUAGAUUUUGGGGACUUUUGAAUUGUUACUCAGUGUGCCUCGCCUAAUUGAUAUGAACUUUGCUGUAGUCUUCUGGUAGCGAUGUGCAUUCUGUAGUCAGUAAGCAUCUCAUCCAUCUCUGCAAAAGUAUUUUCAGUUAACUAACGAACAUAAACAAUGUUGUGGGCAAAAAAAGAAAUCUUUGAGAGUUUAAUACAAGUACUCUGCUAAUGUUACUUUUUAAUACAGUAUAGUAGGACGUCGCUGUAUAGGAAGGCGGGAAUGCUUCAUCUUUUUUAUUUCUCAAGCAAUUAAGAUGCUGUAAUUCAUGCGUAUGGUUUCAGAAAGCUUUAUUGUGAAUCAGUGUGAAUGUCACAUGGACAGUACUGAUAGGCAGUAAUGCUCUUUAGUAGCUGUGUAGCUUCAACAUGUUUGUAGGAUUGAAAUGUAAUCUGUUAGUGUUCUUAUACCCAAUUUUAAACGGGUAAUAAGGUGAAAGUUACUGAAAACAUAAUUACCAUUUUCUCAAUAAUAUAUAUAGGUAUGUGCUAAAAAGGAGUUUGUACUUUUGGCAGAACUGUCCUCUAAGGAUCUGAAGAUUAAAAAUGAUAUUUUGCAAGAAGAUACUUUUGGACCUUUUUAAAGAAAACUUUCUUGAAAGUGAAAGUCGUACUCUUGUUUUUAAUAACCUUUAUUUAAUUGCUCAUCUUAAAUUUUUUGUUUUGAAUUUAAGUCAUGUAGUCUCAAUUUGCAUUUUUCAGGAGGCAGAGAAUUCGCUUCCUCCUCCUACUGUUUAUUUAAUCAUUUUUAAUCAUAUUUAAUCAAUAUUUAAUCAUUAUUACCCUGAACAUAUUUUACUUGCAGUUCUUAUUCAAUUUAUUGGGUUUUAAAUUAUUUUCCUGUAUGAUAGUGGUCAUUCUGGGUGUGGCAAGUUUCAGCGUACCUAGGAAAACUGAAACAUGAUUUGAAUCAUACAUAAUCUAUUGCAGUUCUUAAAUCCUGCUAAGAAACUUUUCCAGCCUUCUCAUGAUUACUCUGGAGCUUUAUAAUACAGCGUUUCUUAUUUUCCUUCAUCAUGUUUUAAAAUAUUGGCAGCUAGAAUAGGUGAAAAUGUUGGUUAGGUCAGUACUGUGUAGAUCUACAAUCCUGUUGUAAGCUUAUGCUGCUGUUGUUCAUACAGAGAUUAUGCCUGCUCUUUUUGCUGCACGUUUACAUGGAAUUUUAUUUGCAUUUUGAUUUUUGCUAAGAUCUAGAUAACUUUUUUUUUACAGUGGUUGCUAUUUCAGGCUAAUUUUCGUAGAUGUAGCAUUACAGUAUGUCUUGUAAGAGUGGAAGUGGCUUGUAGAAUAGUACUGCUCUUAUUCUGUUAAUAUUUACCAUUCCUCUAUCACUUUUGUUCAGUCAUCUGUACGAUUUCCUUUGAAUUUUCAUAUUUUCUUUGAUUAAAAAUGUAAAAGGCAUCAGUUUAUGUAGUGUUUCUUUUUCAUCUGUAAAUCAUGAGGUUCGGGCUCAUUAUUUCUCAGGCCUACUUAGAUGCGUUUUUCUGGUCACAAAAUGUACUUUGAAAUUAUGGUGUAAGAUGUUCUAUUUAAUCUACACUGCUAUUGUAUCUCCUUUGCAGUGAGCGCUAAUGCCAGAUUCUUUCCUAACUAGAUGUUUUAAAAUAGACCACCUCCUUAAGCAAGGAUGUGCGAGUAAAACAGAUCUAAAAAGCACCUACUCAUCUUCCUUGAUUAAGGCAAUUUAUUUUUAUUUUCAGUAUUCCUGAAACUUCAGUGUGUGGUGCUGUUUGGAUUGCUUAAUUAAUCCUGCAUACUGCCCCAUGCUGCUCUGAGUUGGCAUCGGUGGGUGAGAUCGGUUGUCACUGCUGGAAAUGUGUUCUGAAAACUUAAGCCAUGAUUUACACUGAAAUAGCUGUUGUAAUAUUGGUCUUUAGAAUUUGCUUCUUAAUUUUUUUGUGUCUAAUUGAUGCUAUCUUGUGUAACAGGUCAUGGGGUGUGCAUAUUAAAUAUUUUUAAGUGAAUAUCUUGAGUUUGUUGUUUGUGCUGUUAGAUCAUACUUCCUCAGAGAUGUCCUUGCCUCUUCUCCUAGAGGAAUUGCUUUCUUCUUGCAGUUUUGAGAGGCCUCGCUUGUGAAAUGUAUACCGAAGUGUACUUUUAUAGUUUCUUGUGCUUCUUAUAUUGGUUUAUUUCUCCAGGUUUUCAAUGCAAUCUGAUAGUCAAUUAGUUUUAAUACUAAAAAAAAUACCUGCUGAUUUCUUCUUAUGGCCAAAGAAACAGGUAACUUUUUUGAUGUCACGUAUAGUUACUAAGCAUCAGAUUGGCCCUUACAUUUUCAAUUUAAUUGAAGUUGUGGAGCUUUUAUUCUUUUUAAUCUUUUUGAGAGUCUUUGGGAUGUAAAAAAGAAUAAAAAAUUGCAAAGUACAAAAUGAAUAGCUAUGUUGAUACGAAUCUGUAAUAGGUCUUGUUUUUGUUUGGAAUGCUUUGACUAGCACAAUACCCUGCUAGGUGAUGAAAGCAGUGUCAAAAUUUAUCUUCUAAAAAGAGAAAACUUGCAUCCAAUGAUUUGACUUGGAUUUCUUUCAAAGAAACAUUUUUGUGUGUUUUUGAGGGAUAUAUGUGUUCAGUUUGGUUUAUUGCUAGAUCAAAUGGAAAUCAAUUAGCAGCUGAAACAUGCUGUAAAUUCUCAACAGGUAGCUUUGAUAUCUGGAAUGUGUUGAAAACAGCCCUCUGAGCAACACUUGUAUUCUCUUUUUAGUGGUACAGAGUAAUACUAUGCAAUAUCCCUGAUUAAUUUAAUGUUAAAUACUAGUUUGAAUGUGAUGUAUACAUUACAGCAGUUCACCGGUAAUAAAUCUCUCUUCCUUUCCUGUAUUGCAAUUUCAAUAAAGCUGGAAUCUCACACUGAAGUCUGAUGUUAUUAACCUCUUUUUUUUUUUUUUAGGAUGUAAUCAGAAAUCUGAAAUGUUGUGGAUCAACAAAAACACCAUUAUUUUUAUUUUCCUUUUAUAAAAUGCUAGUCUAUUCAGAAAAAAAUAACAGAAAUAGGCUUUGUUGUGUGAAGCAUAAAUUUGAGCUGUAACCACCAGGGGGAGCAUAUUGCAAAGUCAGGACUCAAAAGUGUCUUCUGCUUGUGACUAACACAUUAAUUCACAUUCCCAGUUCUUUUUUUCAUUAGGAAAGAGUGCAUCUGGGAAUUAACAAUCAAUGUUCAAUCUCAGAUAUCAGAAAUAUUGUGUAUUCACUUUAGUUUGUCAGUGUUUGUAUUUCAUAAUAUGAAAACGUGAGUGGUUAGUUAAUCAGUUAAAAUAGGGGGAAACAGAAGUGGGAUUUUCUUUUAAAAUUAAAACAUUGCAAGCUUUUCCUGAUUUGGUUUCAUAGCUUACUGAAGACGCUUCAUAUGUUGGUAGACCACAAACAGAAGAACCUGUAAAUCAGGACCUACAGGAAGGUAGUGCAAGAAAAAUACUUAUUUACAUACUUCCUGCUAUUGUGCAGCAAAACUGAAGCAGUCAGCUAGAAGUCUAUUAAUUUUUAUUUUCACAUGCUUAUGUGAAUAGUUCCAUUGAACUGUGUGGCAGUUCCCAUGGUUGAAGCUAGAGGUUUCUACAUUUGAUUUCCUUGUAUUCACCUAACAGCAGUGACACCAGCUCCAAAUGAUAGAUGAGGUUUUGUGUGUGAGGAGGGAUGCCCCCCAAACCUCUGUACUUUCACUCCCUUAAAUGAGAAAUCCAUGCUGCUACUUCCCAUCCCUAUCACUUCAUCCAUGAUUUUGCACCUAGCUAAGCAGUACACUGACUGGAGAAUGCAGGAGGGACACAAGACCUGUUUUGCUAUGUAUGAAGCCGCCAUGAAGCACAAUGAACAGAAAUGGCUUAUGGAGAGACCUCUAUGAGUUAAGUUAAUCUCUUUAUACAAGCAAAUUUAUAAACUUUACAGAUGUGACAAUUUGAUGUGGUUUGUAUAUGACAUGUGACUGUUGCAGACAGGCUGAAAAUAAUUUAUUUCUGUAGCCCAGCUUCUAGCAGUCCUGAGCAUGUGAGUAUGGAGGCCAGUUAUCUUAAUGUUGAUGCUUAGGAUAUAAAACCGAAUGCUGUUUCAGGGAUGUGUUAAUUUAAUGCAUGUAAUUGUUGUAAAAAGAAACAAAGCUAUUAAUUUGGUAUUUCUGAAUGUACUUUUGUGUUACAUAAUAUACUGAGUUAGAAUGCUGACCAGAAGGGACUGGGAAAACUGUGGAGGGAAAAGUAGUUAAAUAAACCAUGGACACUUUCAGUGUCAAAGCACAGAGCAAAAUACUGACUUACAUUUAAAAAUCAAGCUACAACCGUUUUAUCUCAAUUCACCUAGUGCUGGUUCAGUGAAUAUAAUAUGUUUCAGGGUGUGUAUUGUUGUGCUUCGUUAGUCUUGUUUCAGUGUGAAAUCAUUUGAAAAGCAUAAUCUCAUUAUCUGCUGUUAAUUGUUGAACACUAGGUUGUACUUGUCAAGCUUGAAUUUCAAGACCUAAGCUGGAGAUGUUUCUCUUCUGUAUGCUUUUCUAAUUAGAAGAACAAUAUUUGUUAGACAUCUUAAAAUUGUUAACUUGUAAUUCAGCAUUGAGCCUGCUGAAGUUCAAGAUGCAUUUAGGCAACAUUCUAAGAAACAUGGUUUGAGUUUUGAGUGUUCUUGUGUGGAGCCAGGAGGUUAUGGGGUUGUUGGUUUGGUGGUUGGUUUUUUUUUUGGCUAUUUUACCCCUUUUACAAGUUGUUCUUCUGUUAACUGGAGUGUUAACUUUUAGUGUACAUGAUGUGCGUUUAGAGUGACAUUUCUGUACAUUGCUGUACUCUUAGUGAUAUUGCCUUCAACUAUAAGAUCUUGGAGAUCUAAGGUUACCUUAGGACAUAAAAAAUUUUUGUUUUACUGAGAUCUGAAGGGAAACCUGUAUUUAAGAGUAUUAUGGUGUAUGUAACUUUCUGGGAAGAAAAAAGAGUGCAAGUUACUAUUGUCAGUAGCUGAUGAAAGUUAGACAACUGUGUGUCCUGGUUCUAUUGGAGCUGCAAUGUAUGUGACCUCAUGUUAGAUUUUAGUUAAUCCAAGUACGUGUUUCACACGUGAAUCAGUCUUCACAAUUUCUCUACUUUCAGAACAAAUCAAGGAUUACAGUGCCCCCUACAGCAGCUCUGCUUUUUUUUUUUUUCCCUUGAAUCUUGGGUCAAGCUAGGUGCAAAUACUUGCCAGGUAUACUAUCAGUAAUAAUAAUAGUGGCUUAGAGAAGUCUUUUUUUUUUUUUUUUUUUUAGCAUGGUCUUCAGUUUCUAGUUGACUUGCUUCCCUGCUGUUCAGAGGUUUUCAUCUGUCCUGGAGCUACUCAUUUCUGUUUUAUUAGCACUGGUGCACUGUGAUGUUGGAAAUUGUUGGUUGUGAGAACAGAUAACUCUUCUGAGCAGAAGCUAAAAUCUGAGAGCAGCUGUGAAGGGUAUGCUGAGAUGGCUGUAAUUUCCCCUUCUUGAGCAUUUCUUAUUGAAGCACAUGCUCCUGGACAUGUGAUGGGGAUGUAGCUAUGCAGCUCUUCCCUAGUUGAUUUAAGUGGAGCAGGAAGAGAAACCCAAAACAGGAAAGACUGAUUUAAAUUAAGACAGCACUGGCAUAAGAACAAGUGACCAUAAAUAUGUUAGAACUGAUAGACUUGAAUUCUGUGAGCUUUAAGUCUGGGAAGACCAAGGGUUCAGAGCAAUAUAAUGAAAGAAAUCAUGUCACAUAUUUGUGUAUGAUAAAUUUUUGGACAUAAUAACCUGAGCAUUUCCUCCAGUCUCGUGUCUUCAAUGAAAGCUUCAGUCUAUGGGGAAGUUCUCUCAAAAUUUUAAUGAAAGAUUUCAGUCCAAGUGAUUUUUCCCUUGACCUGUGCAGUUCUUUAGAAGUCUACGAUAUCUAAGUCUCUGCUUUUAUUCCUAGGGGUUUUUACAGAGACUUCUAUGGAUUGUGGAGGUGGUUGAUCUUUUUCUUAAAGAAAAUAGAUUGGAGUGAAAGUGGUAGAGAUGUCCAAGUCCAUGAUUUGGAAGUUUGGGAGACCUGAACGUUUCUCCUCUGCUAACUAUUUCUAGAAAGCAUCCUCCUUCAGGAACACACUUUGGCAUAUGCUUGUCAGCUGUUUACAUGCUAUGACACAGGAAACAUCUUCAAUUCACAGUACUACUCAGAAAAGGUAGUAAGAUUUUUGUGAUGCAGAAAAAAUAUGUGCCUUUUUGAAAAAUAAAGGAAGCAACAGGAACAAAGGAAGCAGAACAAGCAUUAAUGUAUCCUUUUAUAUUUAUUUUUUUCCAGUUAAAAAGCAUUGUAAGUAAUUCAUGUUCAGAUUAGCCACAAGCUUGGCAUUGGCUUAUGCUAUUGGGCUGGUCAGAAAGAUAUCAAAGAUCUUGAAGGAAUUUGUAUGAAGGCUUUAAAAAUUAAUUGGAACAAAGGUAUUUUGAAAAUGGGGAUGAUCUGAGAAAUACUCUAGCCUUAGUCUUGCAUUCUUUCACAGUAUGUAGGAUUGAAGGAACAAACUGUUCCAAAAUACUUUUAUGUUAAAACAGCUGCAAGAAGAAUUUAGAUUUCUUACUGAAGAAGAGAUUGAAAAUUGUAAAUGUUUCCAGCUGCUGUGAUUUAGGAGCACUACAGUUAAAUUUCUGCUCUUUUUAAUGUGUAUACCUGUGUUUGUAGGAAGACUUGAACAUAUAUGAGACAAAAUGUAUUAAUGUUAUUCUCUUGCUUUUUUUCAGUGUCUAAAUACAACUUUUCUGUUCCUUUAUAUGCUCACAUAGCAGAGAAUUUAGUCCAUUCUUGUAUGAUAAUACUGAAAGUCAGGCUUAUGUCAUGACUGUUUUGAAAGAGUAUCUUUUUACUUAUGCAGUUCAAAGUAAACUGAUUUCUCUUAAGUGAAACAGAUACUUGUAAUAUCAUGUUUUGGACAACAUUGCUUACUGAUGUCUUAAAAUAUUGCUUUGACCUCAGGAAAAGAAAAAUAAUUCAUGUUUUACUAUUUGUAAUUUUUUUGCUAGAUCACAAAAUAGUGUUUUCCUUAAUAGUACUGCAUGCUUUAUUUUCUGAUCCUGGUUUAGUUUAUCAACCCUCUUUUUGAUCUUAAGAAUCCAUUUGAAAUUAGGUGUAACAUCGGGGGGGGAAUAUUGAAGACAUGGGCUUCAAGAUAGUCCUGCCAGAGACCACACAGCUUUCUAUUGCAAACAUAAAGUUAGUAUGAAGAGAUAGUGAAGAAGGGAAAUUGUCUGUAAAAUGCUCUAAAGAGUUUCAAUCAGCAUUGUUUUUUAAUAUCAGUUCUGUUUAUGUUCAUCUACAAUACUUCCCCUCUCUCCCUUUUACUUUCAUAAACUCGUGGCUUCAUUCAUAUUUGUUUUUUAGAUGAUGUUUUUUUUUUUUUUCCCCAGCAGUAUGAAACGACAGGAGUCAUGAAUGGUAGAGGUAGAUUCUGUUGUGACACAGAGAAUGAAUUCAGCUGACUUCCUAAGAAAGGUUAUAAUACAGUGGUGGGUCAAUGUUGCCCUUUAAUUUUGUAGUUUUAGAUUUUGAAGAGCCCAUUUGUGAGUAAGUGGACUAGCAAUUAAUGUCACAGGUGUAUGCCUAGUACUUAUUUGAUAGGUGCUAAUUUUCAAUCUCUGUACCUAGCUCUGAAACUCAGCUAGUGCCAUAAACUUAAACAUCUGUAUCUGUCGUAUUCAAACUGUGAGAGAGAUGGAGGUAGGUGAUAUUAACAGUGCUUUCUAGGAGAUUAGAAGACUUUUUUCACACUUUUUUUUUUUUUAAUGGAUCACAUCAUAUAUCCCAUGAAACAUCAUGGGACUUCAUGCUGAGCUGUCAUUAUUUUUAAUGAAAGAUGAAAUUCUGAGACAGAGCAAGAGUCAGCAGAGGCAAUGGCACUCCAUUUAAACAUUUCUGGUUUGGGGAAAGAAGUCUGGGUUCUUCACAGUGAUCAACUUGUCAGUUACAAUUUGGAAUUUCCAAGCAAAUCUGAAAUUGUGUGGAAUAUUUUUGGUGCUGAAAAUCUAGUUUGACUGUCUUCAAUAAGCUAUGAGAUAUGAACUUCUGUCUCUUUAUCAUUUAUUUUAAUUAAAGAAAACCUGUAGCUCUUAGUAAUUUUAAGAAUUGGAUAUCAUGAUGAAAUAUGUAUCACAUGCCUAAUAAUUAGUUAUGUUUUGUUUCUGCCAUUUACAUCCAGUUCAUCAAGAUUCAUCCUCCUAUAAUUGUCUUUUGUUAUGCCUGUAUCUACUUGUUUAGGACCCUGUAUUAGAUACAUUAAUUUUGAGGAUUUUGUUAGUAACACUCUUUGUGUUUAUAAUGUUAAAUUGAGUUUGUCCACUCUGUCUUUAGAAUCUAGGAUUUAUUGUAAAUUCCUCUCACAACUUCUUGAAGCUUUUCUAUUCCUUAAAUUCAUAGAUUAGAGAUUUUUUUAAAUACAUUAAAUAUUUUCAUUGUACUUUGUCUUUAUGCCAAGAUUAGUACUGACUUUCUUGGUUCUUAAACUUUAUGCUGAGGAUGGGUGUAUUUUGGGAGUUUCUAGCUUUUGUAGUCUAUUUUCAUGGAGACUUUCUGCAGUUUCCUGCCAGUGUAUAUGCUUUUCUUUAUUGUUGCUCUGAGAGCCAGAAAAAAAGAAAAUAGCAUGGAUUCCUGAGCCAUACAGUAACCUUAAGUGGAAAUAAAACCAGUGAUGUCAACUACUACUCAAACAGCUGGCACAAAUAUUGAUAAUAACCCAUGAACAACUGACACAAAAUAUUGUUUCUUAUUUACCUAACAAAAACAUACUGCAUAUGAAGUGUUUAGCAAAAUUAAACGUAUGUCCAUCACAUCAUGAAAAUUUAUUGAGAAUUAACUGCUUUACUGUAUAGAAAAGUCUUUCAUUUUCUGCAUUUAGUCAGACCUACUUGCUGAGUGGAAGGCACAAGAAAUCCUUUCAUGGAUACCUGUUCACUAAUUUGCAUUAAGAGGUAUUUCUUCUUUACCUCUUUGUACUGGCUUAAAUCCUGAAUUAUUUCAUUAUCUACGUAAAUGCUUAAUCUCUUGAAAAUCCUGCUAAGCUCUUGCCUUCAUUGAAAGCUGUGAUAAUUUGUUGUAGUUAUUUCUGUAUUUAAAUAUAUUGUUUUCAGGUUCUGUGAUAUGUUCUUAUAUUUUCCUUUUUAAUAAAGUAGAAGUACCAAUUUCA